This 369-nucleotide ribosomal RNA is filed under the name Triticum aestivum (bread wheat). RNAcentral's name for it is "partial small subunit ribosomal RNA". The record is from RNAcentral. Lineage: Eukaryota; Viridiplantae; Streptophyta; Magnoliopsida; Poales; Poaceae.
AUGCACUACAGAUUGUUUACUAAAGAAAAUUGUUUUAGGCGAAGAGUCGAAGACCUGAAGAUAAAUGUUGCUAAUCAAGACGAUGACCUGCACAACUCCUGGGAAACACGACCAACGCUGUGUGCCUGCAUGAUUGAUGAUCACAGAUAUGUUUACUUUGCUCAAAGAUCGUAUAGCAGUGUAUUGCUUCAUGCAUGCACUUUUUAUCAUCCAUUUUUAUUAUUCAAUUCUCUAUAUGGUCAUCAUAGAUGCUAUUACAGGGAUGUAUCAGUAUUUUUCAUGCGUUGUUGUAAAUAUAACUACCUUUGCACUGAUACAUAUGUGUUCUUUUCUUUUAACUAUCUCUUUUCAGGCUUGGAAGAAAAUUAA